UCUAUGACGUUAGCGGCGGACGGGUGAGUAACACGUGGGCAACCUGCCUGUAAGACUGGGAUAACUUCGGGAAACCGAAGCUAAUACCGGAUAGGAUCUUCUCCUUCAUGGGAGAUGAUUGAAAGAUGGUUUCGGCUAUCACUUACAGAUGGGCCCGCGGUGCAUUAGCUAGUUGGUGAGGUAACGGCUCACCAAGGCAACGAUGCAUAGCCGACCUGAGAGGGUGAUCGGCCACACUGGGACUGAGACACGGCCCAGACUCCUACGGGAGGCAGCAGUAGGGAAUCUUCCGCAAUGGACGAAAGUCUGACGGAGCAACGCCGCGUGAGUGAUGAAGGCUUUCGGGUCGUAAAACUCUGUUGUUAGGGAAGAACAAGUACAAGAGUAACUGCUUGUACCUUGACGGUACCUAACCAGAAAGCCACGGCUAACUACGUGCCAGCAGCCGCGGUAAUACGUAGGUGGCAAGCGUUAUCCGGAAUUAUUGGGCGUAAAGCGCGCGCAGGCGGUUUCUUAAGUCUGAUGUGAAAGCCCACGGCUCAACCGUGGA
Molecule: ribosomal RNA, 550 nt
Filed under: bacterium BaP2-72
Lineage: Bacteria
Description: bacterial SSU rRNA
Rfam family: Bacterial small subunit ribosomal RNA
Source: RNAcentral